Molecule: ribosomal RNA, 249 nt
Filed under: uncultured prokaryote
Description: partial 16S ribosomal RNA
Rfam family: Bacterial small subunit ribosomal RNA
Source: RNAcentral
UACGGAGGAUGCAAGCGUUAUCCGGAUUUAUUGGGUUUAAAGGGUGCGUAGGCGGCCGAGUAAGUCAGCGGUGAAAUUUUGCAGCUUAACUGUAACAGUGCCGUUGAUACUGCAUGGCUAGGAUUUGGUUGCUGUGGGUGGAAUGUGUGGUGUAGCGGUGAAAUGCUUAGAUAUCACACAGAAUAUCAAUUGCGAAGGCAGCUCACAAAGCCAAGAUUGACGCUGAGGCACGAAAGUGUGGGGAUCAAA